UAUGGGAUGGAUUCGUG
This 17-nucleotide unclassified non-coding RNA is filed under the name Mus musculus (house mouse). RNAcentral describes it as "oocyte_clustered_small_RNA1175". The record is from RNAcentral. Lineage: Eukaryota; Metazoa; Chordata; Mammalia; Rodentia; Muridae.